CUGACAGAAGAGAGUGAGCACACAUGGUGCCUUUCUUGCAUGAUGUAUGAUCGAGAGAGUUCAUGCUCGAAGCUAUGCGUGCUCACUUCUCUCUCUGUCAG
This 101-nucleotide microRNA precursor is filed under the name Zea mays. RNAcentral describes it as "mir-156 microRNA precursor family". It matches the Rfam family "mir-156 microRNA precursor family". Rfam says of the family: This family represents the plant microRNA (miRNA) precursor mir-156. Animal miRNAs are transcribed as ~70nt precursors and subsequently processed by the Dicer enzyme to give a ~22nt product. Lineage: Eukaryota; Viridiplantae; Streptophyta; Magnoliopsida; Poales; Poaceae. The record is from Rfam by way of RNAcentral.